This 470-nucleotide ribosomal RNA is filed under the name uncultured bacterium. RNAcentral's name for it is "partial 16S ribosomal RNA". It matches the Rfam family "Bacterial small subunit ribosomal RNA", at positions 355 to 841 of the family's 1533-position model. The record is from RNAcentral.
UGGGGAAUAUUGGACAAUGGGGGCAACCCUGAUCCAGCAAUGCCGCGUGUGUGAAGAAGGUCUUCGGAUUGUAAAGCACUUUCGACGGGGACGAUGAUGACGGUACCCGUAGAAGAAGCCCCGGCUAACUUCGUGCCAGCAGCCGCGGUAAUACGAAGGGGGCUAGCGUUGCUCGGAAUGACUGGGCGUAAAGGGCGUGUAGGCGGUUUACACAGUCAGAUGUGAAAUCCCCGGGCUUAACCUGGGAGCUGCAUUUGAUACGUGUAGACUAGAGUGUGAGAGAGGGUUGUGGAAUUCCCAGUGUAGAGGUGAAAUUCGUAGAUAUUGGGAAGAACACCGGUGGCGAAGGCGGCAACCUGGCUCAUGACUGACGCUGAGGCGCGAAAAGCGUGGGGAGCAAACAGGAUUAGAUACCCUGGUAGUCCACGCUGUAAACGAUGUGUGCUAGAUGUUGGGUAACUUUGUUAUUC